UACGUAGGGUGCGAGCGUUAAUCGGAAUUACUGGGCGUAAAGCGUGCGCAGGCGGUUUUGUAAGCCAGAUGUGAAAUCCCCGGGCUUAACCUGGGAAUGGCAUUUGGGACUGCAAGGCUUGAGUGCGGCAGAGGAGACUGGAAUUCCUGGUGUAGCAGUGAAAUGCGUAGAUAUCGAGAGGAACACCUGCGGCGAAGGCGGGUUGCCUGGGCGUGAAGUGACUGACGCUGGAGGCGCGAAAGCCCAGGGGAG
Molecule: ribosomal RNA, 252 nt
Filed under: uncultured bacterium
Lineage: Bacteria
Description: partial 16S ribosomal RNA
Rfam family: Bacterial small subunit ribosomal RNA
Source: RNAcentral